RNAcentral lists this ribosomal RNA (406 nucleotides) under uncultured bacterium. RNAcentral's name for it is "partial 16S ribosomal RNA". It matches the Rfam family "Bacterial small subunit ribosomal RNA", at positions 30 to 526 of the family's 1533-position model. The record is from RNAcentral.
AUUGAACGCUGGCGGCAGGCCUAACACAUGCAAGUCGAACGAGUGGCGGACGGGUGAGUAAUGUCUGGGAAACUGCCCGAUGGAGGGGGGUAACUACUGGAAACGGUAGCUAAUACCGCAUACCAUCGGAUGUGCCCAGCUGGGAUUAGCUAGUAGGUGGGGUAACGGCUCACCUAGGCGACGAUCCCUAGCUGGUCUGAGAGGAUGACCAGGCACACGGGAACUGAGACACGGUCCAGAAUCCUACGUGAGGCAGCAGUGGGUAAUAUUGCACAAAGGGCGCAAGCCUGAUGCAGCUAUGCCGCGUGUAUGAAGAAGGCCUUCGGGUUGUAAAGUACUUUCAGCGAGUAGGGGUUACUCGCAGAAGAAGCACCGGCUAACUCCGUGCCAGCCGCCGCGGUAAUAC